Molecule: ribosomal RNA, 465 nt
Filed under: Vreelandella stevensii
Lineage: Bacteria; Pseudomonadati; Pseudomonadota; Gammaproteobacteria; Oceanospirillales; Halomonadaceae
Description: partial 16S ribosomal RNA
Rfam family: Bacterial small subunit ribosomal RNA
Source: RNAcentral
CCUACGGGUGGCUGCAGUGGGGAAUAUUGGACAAUGGGGGGAACCCUGAUCCAGCCAUGCCGCGUGUGUGAAGAAGGCCCUCGGGUUGUAAAGCACUUUCAGUGAGGAAGAACGCCUGGUGGUUAAUACCCAUCAGGAAAGACAUCACUCACAGAAGAAGCACCGGCUAACUCCGUGCCAGCAGCCGCGGUAAUACGGAGGGUGCGAGCGUUAAUCGGAAUUACUGGGCGUAAAGCGCGCGUAGGUGGCUUGAUAAGCCGGUUGUGAAAGCCCCGGGCUCAACCUGGGAUCGGCAUCCGGAACUGUCAAGCUAGAGUGCAGGAGAGGAAGGUAGAAUUCCCGGUGUAGCGGUGAAAUGCGUAGAGAUCGGGAGGAAUACCAGUGGCGAAGGCGGCCUUCUGGACUGACACUGACACUGAGGUGCGAAAGCGUGGGUAGCAAACAGGAUUAGAUACCCCAGUAGUC